This 497-nucleotide ribosomal RNA is filed under the name uncultured bacterium. Its description in RNAcentral is "partial 16S ribosomal RNA". It matches the Rfam family "Bacterial small subunit ribosomal RNA", at positions 28 to 507 of the family's 1533-position model. The record is from RNAcentral.
GAUGAACGCUGGCGGCGUGCCUAAUACAUGCAAGUCGAGCGAACGGACGCGAAGCUUGCUUCUCUGAUGUUAGCGGCGGACGGGUGAGUAACACGUGUAUAACCUACCUAUCAGACUGGGAUAACUUCGGGAAACCGGAGCUAAUACCGGAUAAUAUUUUGAACCGCAUUGUUGAAAAGUGAAAUUCGGUCUUGCUGUCACUUAUAGCUGCAUCCGCGCUGCAUUAGCUAGUUGGUAAGGUAACGGCUUACCAAGGCAACGAGGCAUAGCCGACCUGUGAGGGUGAUCGGCCACACGGGAACUGAGACACGGUCCAGAGUCCUACGGGAGGCAGCAGUAGGGAAUCUUCCGCAAUGGGCGAAAGCCUGACGGAGCAACGCCGCGUGAGUGAUGAAGGUCUUCGGAUCGUAAAACUCUGUUAUUAGGGAAGAACAUAUGUGUAAGUAACUGUGCACAUCGUGACGGUACCUAAUCAGAAAGCCACGGCUAACUACGUG